CAAUAGCGUAUAUUAAAGUUGUUGCAGUUAAAAAGCUCGUAGUUGGAUUUCUGGUGGGAGCGAUCGGUCUGGCGCUUAGCGCGAGUACUUGCAUCGUCUCCGGCCAUCCUUGGGGAGAGUCUGUCUGGCAUUAGGUUGUCGGGCAGAGGAUCCACAUCGUUUACUGUGAAAAAAUUAGAGUGUUCAAAGCAGGCUUAUGCCGUUGAAUAUAUUAGCAUGGAAUAAUAAGAUAGGACUUUGGUACUAUUUUGUUGGUUUGCGCACCAAAGUAAUGAUUAAUAGGGACAGUUGGGGGUAUUCGUAUUCCGUUGUCAGAGGUGAAAUUCUUGGAUUUACGGAAGACGAACUACUGCGAAAGCAUUUACCAAGGAUGUUUUCAUUG
This 382-nucleotide ribosomal RNA is filed under the name uncultured eukaryote. RNAcentral's name for it is "partial 18S ribosomal RNA". It matches the Rfam family "Eukaryotic small subunit ribosomal RNA", at positions 592 to 975 of the family's 1831-position model. The record is from RNAcentral.